UACGAAGGGGGCUAGCGUUGUUCGGAAUUACUGGGCGUAAAGCGUGCGCAGGCGGCUAUCCAAGUCAGUGGUGAAAGCCCGGAGCUCAACUCCGGAACUGCCAUUGAAACUGUUUAGCUCGAGUACGAGAGAGGUGAGUGGAAUUCCCAGUGUAGAGGUGAAAUUCGUAGAUAUUGGGAAGAACACCGGUGGCGAAGGCGGCUCACUGGCUCGCAACUGACGCUCAUGCACGACAGCGUGGGGAUCAAACAGG
RNAcentral lists this ribosomal RNA (253 nucleotides) under uncultured bacterium. RNAcentral describes it as "partial 16S ribosomal RNA". It matches the Rfam family "Bacterial small subunit ribosomal RNA", at positions 524 to 776 of the family's 1533-position model. The record is from RNAcentral.